Long non-coding RNA from Canis lupus familiaris (dog), 1540 nucleotides. RefSeq lists it as uncharacterized. The record is from RefSeq and is a predicted model, not a curated record. The transcript is spliced from 4 exons. NCBI's taxonomy places the organism in Eukaryota, Metazoa, Chordata, Mammalia, Carnivora, Canidae.
UCUGGGAACCAAGAGUCCAUCCAGGAACUUUUUCUCUGUCCCUUUGAAAUAUCCUUCAUUGAUCUCUCCCUGAUACCAUGACCUGAACAAUUUUACAUAAAUUUUGCUUCCCCACAGCUAAUAUGUGGAAUAUAAGAUUGGGACAAUGAUGGUGGGAAACAAUGUUUUAAGAGAGAUAAAAAGAUAAAACACAAUUCUGACACAGCAGAAGGGAUGUGAGUGCUUUGCAUCUUCCUCUGCCAGGAAGUUCAAAAUGAAUCAUGCAAAGUGAUCAGUAUUAUUUGUGGUGACUGAAAAAAAUAUUCAAAUGGUCAUCUCUAAUGUCUUCAUAUCCAUCAAAAUUUACUCAAAUGUAAAAAAGAUGAAGAUAACUUAUAUUGUCCUCUGCCAUGAAUUUCGUCAUUGCCAAAAACCUUCCUGGACAACUGUACUGGGCUCCAUUUCUUUCACUGGUUUGUUGGAGUACAAUGGUUUAAAGAGCUAACCACUUUCUAUUUGGCUGAUUAUAUAUUAGUUUCCAGUCCAAAUACAAAAUAUGUGUUGAAUUAUAGACAAAUAUCCUUAAUCCGAGUAGAAUUUACAUAUUUACUACUAACUUUCCUUUUUUCAUUUACUUCUCCAUAUUGCUCCAUAGCCAUGAAGAGGACUUUUAAAAUCAAUACCUAAUUUCUUCCUCUUCACGUAAGAUAUAAACUAAAAAUAUCGAAAUUUCCUUAUAGGAGGUGGAUAGCUCAGCUACCCGGAUUAUUCUGAGAGGAACCAUUAUUUACCACAGCCACAGGGUACAAACAGAGAACUAUUUUUUUUUUUUUUUUAUUUACUCAGGAGAGACAGAGAGAGAGAGAGGGAGAGACAGAGAGAGAGAGGCAGAGACCCAGGCAGAGGGAGAAACAGGCUCCAUGCAGGGAGCUGGAGGUGGGACUGGAUGCCGGGUCUCCAGGAUCGGAUCAUGCCCUGGACUGAAGGUGGCGCUAAACCGCUGAGCCACCGGGGCUGCCCAAACAGACAACUUUCUAAUAUGACUGUGCCUCUCCUCUCUUUAUUAACAUGGAGAAUGGAGAAUGGAUUGUACUACAAAGCCAAAAUGACCUCUCGAAAGAAGCAUUAUUUCAGUCUCCUUACCUGUAAAUAGCUAAUGUGACAUCCCUAGGGCCAAUUACUUUUAACGCUUUAUUAAUAUUUAUGGCUUUAAACCAUGUUCCACCCAAACUACAUGUGCAUAAAACAAUUAAAAUAUUUAAUAUUAAACACAGCAGGAGUCCUUAUUUCUGAACUUUUUUGGCAACGCCUACAGUUAUUUGAGGAUACCUUUACCAAAUUGAAAAUUGUGAUCACAUAGACAUAGAUGCCUGUUGAGACUUAACACAUGAAUUAAAAUCGACUAUUAAAAAAAUUCAUGGAGAAUCGAAUGUUUUUUGGGGGUGUUAUUUGUCUAUGAACAUUCACAUUUUAUAAUACCAUGUAAGGUGGAACGAGUUUUACCUGAAUUCCUUGGAAUCCGCUUUCUGCGGUCUCGGAACGCUGCACCUGAUUGUAGGGC